AACGAACGCUGGCGGCAUGCCUAACACAUGCAAGUCGAACGAGACCUUCGGGGCUAGUGGCGCACGGGUGCGUACCGCGUGGGAACCUGCCCUUAGGUUCGGAAUAACUCCCCGAAAGGGGUGCUAAUAACGGAUAAUGUCUUCGGACCAAAGAUUUAUCGCCUUUGGAUGGGCCCGCGUUGGAUUAGCUAGUUGGUAUGGUAAAAGCCUACCAAGGCGACGAUCCAUAGCUGGUCUGAGAGGAUGAGCAGCCACACUGUGACUAAGACACGGCCCAGACUCCUACGGGAGGCAGCAGUGGGGAAUAUUGGACAACGGGCGAAAGCCUGAUCCAGCAAGGCCGCGUGAGUGAUGAGGGCCUUAGGGUUGUAAAGCGCUUUUACCCGGGAGGAUAAUGACAGUACCGGGAGAAUAAGCUCCGGCUAACUCCGUG
RNAcentral lists this ribosomal RNA (433 nucleotides) under uncultured bacterium. Its description in RNAcentral is "partial 16S ribosomal RNA". It matches the Rfam family "Bacterial small subunit ribosomal RNA", at positions 29 to 507 of the family's 1533-position model. The record is from RNAcentral.